This 135-nucleotide ribosomal RNA is filed under the name uncultured bacterium. Its description in RNAcentral is "partial 16S ribosomal RNA". It matches the Rfam family "Bacterial small subunit ribosomal RNA", at positions 355 to 507 of the family's 1533-position model. The record is from RNAcentral.
CGAGGAAUUUUGCGCAAUGGGCGAAAGCCUGACGCAGCAACGCCGCGUGGGGGAUGAAGGCCUUCGGGUUGUAAACCCCUUUUGCAGGGGAAGCAACUGACGGUACCCUGCGAAGAAGCCACGGCUAACUACGUG